Molecule: ribosomal RNA, 1482 nt
Filed under: metagenome
Description: bacterial LSU rRNA
Rfam family: Bacterial large subunit ribosomal RNA
Source: RNAcentral
AUAUGAGGGGACGCAGAAGGGUAAGUGGACCCAGGCGUUGGUUGUCCUGGGGUAAGCGUGUAGGGCGAGGUCUAGGGAAAUCCGGACCUCACGAAGCCUGAGACGUGAUACCGAGCCGUAUGGCAGAAGCCACCGAUCCCAUGCUGCCAAGAAAAGCCUCUAGCGAGUUCACACAGCGCCCGUACCCGAAACCAACACAGGUGGGCAGGUAGAGAAUACCAAGGCGAUUGGGAGAACUGCGGUUAAGGAACUCGGCAAAUUGCAUCCGUAACUUCGGGAUAAGGAUGACCCCGGUAGGGUGAAGGGACUUGCUCCCUGAGCUCGAUGGGGUGGCACAAAAGAGAGGGAAGCGACUGUUUACCAAAAACACAGCAGCGUGCGAAGCCGUAAGGCGAUGUAUACGCUGUGACGCCUGCCCGGUGCUGGAAGGUUACGGGGAAGGGUUAGCCGCAAGGCGAAGCUCUGAACCUAAGCCCCAGUAAACGGCGGCCGUAACUAUAACGGUCCUAAGGUAGCGAAAUUCCUUGUCGGGUAAGUUCCGACCUGCACGAAUGGCGUAACGACUUCCCUACUGUCUCAACCGCAGACCCAGCGAAAUUGAAGUACGAGUAAAGAUGCUCGUUAACUGCAGAAGGACGGAAAGACCCCGUGGACCUUUACUAUAACUUGAUGUUGGUUUUUAGCAUCUGUUGUGUAGGAUAGGUGGGAGACUGUGAACCGGCGGCGCCAGCUGUCGGGGAGUCAUCGUUGAAAUACCACCCUGCAUAUGCCGGGAAUCUAACCACGACCCGUUAUCCGGGUUUGGGACAGCGUCAGGCGGGUAGUUUGACUGGGGCGGUCGCCUCCUAAAUCGUAACGGAGGCGCCCAAAGGUUCCCUCAGCCUGGUUGGCAAUCAGGCGUCGAGUGCAAUGGCACAAGGGAGCUUGACUGCGAGACUGACACGUCGAGCAGGUGCGAAAGCAGGGCAUAGUGAUCCGGCGGUUGCGUGUGGAAGCGCCGUCGCUCAACGGAUAAAAGGUACCCCGGGGAUAACAGGCUAAUCUUGCCCAAGAGUCCAUAUCGACGGCAAGGUUUGGCACCUCGAUGUCGGCUCAUCGCAUCCUGGGGCUGAAGCAGGUCCCAAGGGUUGGGCUGUUCGCCCAUUAAAGCGGUACGCGAGCUGGGUUCAGAACGUCGUGAGACAGUUCGGUCCCUAUCCUCUGCAGUCGGAGCUAGAUUGAGGAAGGCUGUCCCUAGUACGAGAGGACCGGGACGGACGCAGCUCUCGUGUGCCAGUUGUCCUGCCAAGGGCAUUGCUGGUUAGCGACCUGCGGAAGGGAUAACCGCUGAAAGCAUCUAAGUGGGAAGCCCGUUCCAAGAUGAGUCUAGCCACCGGGUUAACCGGGUAAGGCCCGUGGGAGACCACCACGUUGAUAGGCCGGAAGUGUACGCACGGCAACGUGCUCAGCUGACCGGUACUAAUCGGCCGAGGGCUUGGAUCA